This 305-nucleotide unclassified non-coding RNA is filed under the name plant metagenome. Its description in RNAcentral is "partial contains 5.8S ribosomal RNA, internal transcribed spacer 2, and large subunit ribosomal RNA". The stretch from base 1 to 105 matches the Rfam family "5.8S ribosomal RNA", at positions 50 to 154 of the family's 154-position model. The record is from RNAcentral.
GAAAUGCGAUAAGUAAUGUGAAUUGCAGAAUUCAGUGAAUCAUCGAAUCUUUGAACGCACAUUGCGCCCGCCAGUAUUCUGGCGGGCAUGCCUGUUCGAGCGUCAUUUCAACCAUCAAGCCCCCGGCUUGUGUUGGGGACCUGCGGCUGCCCGCAGGCCCUGAAAAACAGUGGCGGGUUCGCUGUCACACCGAGCGUAGUAGCAUACAUUCUCGCUCAGGGCGUGCUGCGGGUUCCGGCCGUUAAACGACCUUCAUAACCCAAGGUUGACCUCGGAUCAGGUAGGAAGACCCGCUGAACUUAAGC